Molecule: unclassified non-coding RNA, 195 nt
Filed under: Ascomycota sp.
Lineage: Eukaryota; Fungi; Ascomycota
Description: partial contains small subunit ribosomal RNA, internal transcribed spacer 1, and 5.8S ribosomal RNA
Rfam family: Eukaryotic small subunit ribosomal RNA (bases 1-47)
Source: RNAcentral
AAAGUCGUAACAAGGUCUCCGUAGGUGAACCUGCGGAGGGAUCAUUAUCGAACGGCGCUAGCCGCCCUCGACACACAAACCAGGUGGAAGCGACCCGUGCUUCGGCGCUCCGGCGCCGCCUCGACGCAUGAAUCCGUCUGAAGUCUGAAUAUGAAAUUUGAAUCAAAACUUUCAACAAAGGAUCUCUUGGCUCUC